CACUUUUAAUGGGCACCCAGCCGCCCACUAAUUUUAGG
RNAcentral lists this transfer RNA (38 nucleotides) under Hemidactylus angulatus. Its description in RNAcentral is "partial tRNA-Leu". Lineage: Eukaryota; Metazoa; Chordata; Lepidosauria; Squamata; Gekkonidae. The record is from RNAcentral.